UACUUGGUAUAGUACGGGAUUUACAUCCUUCUGAAUAACUCUAUCGUACCGCACCGAAGUUCUUCCAAGCUGCUUAUCAACUUUGUGGUAGUUUUGCGACUAUGGACGGGACGGAGAAUAAGGGUUCGACGGAGAGGGAGCCUACGGCUACC
RNAcentral lists this ribosomal RNA (152 nucleotides) under Odontophoroides sp. OB_08. RNAcentral describes it as "partial 18S ribosomal RNA". Lineage: Eukaryota; Metazoa; Nematoda; Chromadorea; Araeolaimida; Axonolaimidae. The record is from RNAcentral.